AAUUGCAACUCCCUUUUUUCUUCUUUGAUGCUCUCGGCCGAACUCCAAAGCCCACCCACCAACACUUCAAAUUUUCCAUCUUGCAAUUUAAUAUACAACCAGGGGUGAAGGAUCGCAUACGAGGAGACCCGGUGCUUGCGGAUCGUCAAGGACCUCACCCCAAUGCUUUUAACCACUCGUUUUUUCGACUAGUUUCUUCCCUAGCCUCGAGCUAGUAGUCGUCGCACAACAGAUUGAUCAGGAGAUUUUCUUGAUAGAGACGCACCACUGAUUUGCGUAAAGAUGGAAACGCGGAAUGCCAGCGAGUUACCGAACAAUCAGCGUGAAAUCAGAAUAAAAGAAGAAAAAGGAAGGUUGCUAACUUUGGUCGAUUUCGUUUUGGCGGCAAUCUUUGAAAGUAAUUCAAAUGUACGCUUGUAUAAAAGUUUAAACGUUAAUAACUCAUAUUGAUUUUAAGACUAUGGACGAGUGGUUUAGUUGUUACUUGGUGAGCGGGUAUACCCGGGUACGAAACCCGCGUGUUUAUUUUUAA
Helianthus annuus (common sunflower) is the source of this 532-nucleotide long non-coding RNA. RefSeq lists it as uncharacterized. The record is from RefSeq and is a predicted model, not a curated record. The transcript has 3 exons. Lineage: Eukaryota; Viridiplantae; Streptophyta; Magnoliopsida; Asterales; Asteraceae.